AAACAGUUAUUCUGACUCAGAGUUCUGAGAUAAUUGUUAUUAAUUUUGAAUGUUACAAGCUAUAGUAUACUGGAGAGAUAUAGACGCCAGAACUGUUUUAUGAUUAUGGGACAAAUGUAACGUCUGAUUAUAUGAAAGAAAGGAACAAUCAUUUAUUAUGUGCCAACUGUAUGCCCGGUAUUAUACUAAACACUACAAAUAUCAUAUCAUUGGAUCCCACAGCUACCCUGGGAGUUUCUCCCAUAGUAUCAAAGACAUCUCCCAGGAAACCUAGUCCUUGGCUGGAUCCUUCCCUUUUGCAUCAACCUCUCACUGAUAAUCCUGUCUUGGACUUCUCAUUUCCUUGUAGCCAUGGUAAUGUCAAUCAAUCAUACUUCCUGAUCUUUAUUUCCUCAAAUGGUAUAUAAGUUCCCCAAGUUCUAUUGUUCUUUAGAGAAAACAUCUAGCAAGGUGUCUUCUCCCAGGGAUACAUUCCCAGAUUCCUCAGGGUGUAGGCUCUGUGAAGUCUUUGUUGCUGGCCUCUGUGUAGAGGCCAAUUAUUGGACCUAUCCCUCUCCUGAUUAAAGACUUGGUUUUUCUGACUACUUUAGUAGUUCUGUGUUUUUUUUUUCCAAGUUAUCAAGGAUAAGUAACUCCAAACAUAGCCAAGGGAUAAAGUUUAAAGAGCUAGAAACUAGGCAGGGAAGGGAAAGAGAGAGAAUGUGCUCAUUUGAAAGGAAUACUAGAGGGUUUUUUUUAAUGAUAAAUAGACAUGUUUGUGGUUAUUCCACCAAUUAAAAUAAGAUCUUUUUGAAGUAUGGAGGUAUAAAUAUACUUAUACAAUAUUUUGCUUUGUUUCACUACAUAAUACUGCAGUAUUUACUGUAUUUUACUACCUUUUUAUGUAAUGCAUAAUAGUCUAUGGAUAAAUUAUUUUCGUAUUCUUACUUUGUCUGUAUAAAUUUUUUUUCAUAUUUUUCUAGAUUUCUCUGAAUUCUUCAUAUUCAUCCUCUCUUACAGGGGUUAUAUAGACUAACAGCCUAUUUUACAAUGUUGCCUGUGGCCAGCCUAUGUGGGCCUGUCAUAGCAAUGCUGCUUAACUUUUGAAGGGCAAAGUUAAUAUAUUGCCAUCAUAAAAGGGCUCUAUCUCAAGUGAAAAUUGCACGAUAGGCUCUCAUUUGCCCACGCUUUGGGGUCCUUCUUUUACAGAUGAACUAAUUACUUCUUCACUACUACCAUUAUCUUAAGCUAUGGACCAUGGCUUUAACCUCCACUUCAUGAAUCCUAUCUAUAGCUACUCCAGGAUAAAAAAGACCACAAAUACUCUCACAGUUAAUUACAAAAUCCUACCUAUAGGACUUGAGUGAAUUUACUCAUUUUCCUACUUUCUCUGCUAGAUCUUACCUGGGUAGGGCUGCCAGAGAAAUAAAGGCCAAGGACAAAUGACUAGGGUACA
This 1435-nucleotide long non-coding RNA is filed under the name Monodelphis domestica (gray short-tailed opossum). RNAcentral describes it as "lncRNA (ENSMODG00000036286.2)". Lineage: Eukaryota; Metazoa; Chordata; Mammalia; Didelphimorphia; Didelphidae. The record is from RNAcentral.